GACGAACGCUGGCGGCGUGCUUAACACAUGCAAGUCGAACGGUAAGGCCCUUCGGGGUACACGAGUGGCGAACGGGUGAGUAACACGUGGGUGAUCUGCCCUGCACUUCGGGAUAAGCCUGGGAAACUGGGUCUAAUACCGGAUAGGACCACUGCCUGCAUGGGUGGUGGUGGAAAGCUUUUGCGGUUGUGGGAUGGGCCCGCGGCCUAUCGGCUUGUUGGUGGGGUGAUGGCCUACCAAGGCGACGACGGGUAGCCGGCCUGAGAGGGUGACCGGCCACACUGGGACUGAGAUACGGCCCAGACGCCUACGGGAGGCAGCAGUGGGGAAUAUUGCACAAUGGGCGCAAGCCUGAUGCAGCGACGCCGCGUGAGGGAUGACGGCCUUCGGGUUGUAAACCUCUUUCAGCACCGACGAAGCGCAAGUGACGGUAGGUGCAGAAGAAGGACCGGCCAACUACGUGCCAGCCGCCGCCGUAA
RNAcentral lists this ribosomal RNA (479 nucleotides) under uncultured bacterium. Its description in RNAcentral is "partial 16S ribosomal RNA". It matches the Rfam family "Bacterial small subunit ribosomal RNA", at positions 28 to 523 of the family's 1533-position model. The record is from RNAcentral.